RNAcentral lists this unclassified non-coding RNA (324 nucleotides) under Hevea brasiliensis (rubber tree). The record is from RNAcentral. Lineage: Eukaryota; Viridiplantae; Streptophyta; Magnoliopsida; Malpighiales; Euphorbiaceae.
AAGAAACUCAAUAAACCCAGGAAAAUGGAAUGCCCAAAAUCACUCGAAAAAAAAUCAUCCAAUUUUAAAAAUAUCUUUCAAAGACGGAGAAAAACCGAUGUUGAUAAAAAUGAAACAAAUAUGAGAUGCGAGGUACGAAACAGAGCACCACCCUGUUUGAGUCAAAUGAGGAAAUAUGCUAGUGGUCGUGAAGGUAAUUUAUCGAAUUUCGAUUGGAAAAACGUGCAGAUUACACCUGAUGAUCAUCGGAAAUAUUACUCCGAUGAUGAUAGAGAUGAUUAUCAUGAAGCUGAAGAUGAAGAUGAGGUAAUAAUUCCAUUUUCA